CGUCUGGUCCAUGUCGAUGAAGAUGCUGACGGCCUUGCCGAUGCGCGGCCUCUCCUUGAGCUUCUCCAGGGUGUUGCGGACGUGCGCCACGGCGCCCCAGCACCGCAGCGUGUUGGCCACCUCGUCCAGCCGCAGCAGGUACUCCUCCUCGCUCAGCGGGAACGACCUCUGCUCCCUGUACUUCCACAUCACAUUCAUCGCAAGCAGAUUCCUCCCCAUGAACUCCUGCAUUCUUCAUAUUGUUUAUUGCUGCGGUGUACCAGACAAUUCCAUCAAAAGCUAACAAUUUCAUUCACUCACCUUCUUUAUCAACGUCACAUCGUAGGAUCUUCCGUACUUCUUCCUGAUGAGGUUUGCAAGGUCCAACCCGUUGAACUUGUCGUCCUCGUCAGGCCCGACCAGGCGCUCCAGAUCCUCUCGGGAGCUGCUGCUGCUGCUGCUGCUUUGCGGCACCUCAUUGUCACC
RNAcentral lists this long non-coding RNA (465 nucleotides) under Setaria italica (foxtail millet). RNAcentral describes it as "long non-coding RNA (SITA_LNC000795)". The record is from RNAcentral. Lineage: Eukaryota; Viridiplantae; Streptophyta; Magnoliopsida; Poales; Poaceae.